CAGCCGCCGCGGUAAUACGUAGGUGGCAAGCGUUGUCCGGAAUUAUUGGGCGUAAAGGGCUCGCAGGCGGUUUCUUAAGUCUGAUGUGAAAGCCCCCGGCUCAACCGGGGAGGGUCAUUGGAAACUGGGAAACUUGAGUGCAGAAGAGGAGAGUGGAAUUCCACGUGUAGCGGUGAAAUGCGUAGAGAUGUGGAGGAACACCAGUGGCGAAGGCGACUCUCUGGUCUGUAACUGACGCUGAGGAGCGAAAGCGUGGGGGGCGAACAGGAUUAGAUACCCCUGUAGUCCCUGUCUCUUAUAC
This 301-nucleotide ribosomal RNA is filed under the name uncultured bacterium. RNAcentral's name for it is "partial 16S ribosomal RNA". It matches the Rfam family "Bacterial small subunit ribosomal RNA", at positions 509 to 807 of the family's 1533-position model. The record is from RNAcentral.